UACGUAGGGUGCAAGCGUUUGUCCGGAAUUAUUGGGCGUAAAGAGCUCGUAGGCGGUUUGUCGCGUCUGCUGUGAAAACCCGAGGCUCAACCUCGGGCCUGCAGUGGGUACGGGCAGACUAGAGUGCGGUAGGGGAGAUUGGAAUUCCUGGUGUAGCGGUGGAAUGCGCAGAUAUCAGGAGGAACACCAAUGGCGAAGGCAGAUCUCUGGGCCGUAACUGACGCUGAGGAGCGAAAGCAUGGGGAGCGAACAGG
Molecule: ribosomal RNA, 254 nt
Filed under: uncultured bacterium
Lineage: Bacteria
Description: partial 16S ribosomal RNA
Rfam family: Bacterial small subunit ribosomal RNA
Source: RNAcentral